UCGAGAGGCUUCGGCAAUGGGCGAAAGCCUGACCGAGCGACGCCGCGUGAGCGAUGGAGCCCUUCGGGGUGUAAAGCUCUUUUGCUGGGGAAGAAACGCGUCGGGUCCAAUACACCCGACGUUUGACGGUACCCGGCGAAUAAGCUCCGGCUAACUCCGUGCCAGCAGCCGCGGUAAUACGGGGGGAGCAAACGUUGUUCGGAAUCACUGGGCGUAAAGGGCGCGUAGGCGGCCCUGUAAGUGGUGUGUGAAAUCCGAUGGCUCAACCAUCGAGCUGCGCUCCAUACUGCAGGGCUUGAGUACAGCAGAGGAAAGUGGAAUUCCUGGUGUAGCGGUGAAAUGCGUAGAUAUCAGGAGGAACACCGUUGGCGAAGGCGACUUUCUGGGCUGCUACUGACGCUGAGGCGCGAAAGCUGGGGGAGCGAAACAGGAUUAGAUACCCUGGUAGUCCCAGCCGUAAACGUUGGGUGCUA
RNAcentral lists this ribosomal RNA (473 nucleotides) under uncultured bacterium. RNAcentral's name for it is "bacterial SSU rRNA". It matches the Rfam family "Bacterial small subunit ribosomal RNA", at positions 355 to 818 of the family's 1533-position model. The record is from RNAcentral.